CCUACGGGAGGCUGCAGUGAGGAAUAUUGGUCAAUGGGCGCGAGCCUGAACCAGCCAAGUAGCGUGAAGGAUGACUGCCCUACGGGUUGUAAACUUCUUUUAUAGAGGAAUAAAGUGAGGCACGUGUGCCUUUUUGUAUGUACUUUAUGAAUAAGCAUCGGCUAACUCCGUGCCAGCAGCCGCGGUAAUACGGAGGAUCCGAGCGUUAUCCGGAUUUAUUGGGUUUAAAGGGAGCGUAGAUGGUUUGUUAAGUCAGUUGUGAAAGUUUGUGGCUCAACCGUAAAAUUGCAAUUGAUACUGGAAGUCUUGAGUACAGUUGAGGUAGGCGGAAUUCGUGGUGUAGCGGUGAAAUGCUUAGAUAUCACGCAGAACUCCGAUUGCGAAGGCAGCUUACUAAACUGUAACUGACAUUGAUGCUCGAAAGUGUGGGUAUCAAACAGGAUUAGAUACCCCGGUAGUC
This 460-nucleotide ribosomal RNA is filed under the name uncultured bacterium. Its description in RNAcentral is "partial 16S ribosomal RNA". It matches the Rfam family "Bacterial small subunit ribosomal RNA", at positions 338 to 795 of the family's 1533-position model. The record is from RNAcentral.